RNAcentral lists this ribosomal RNA (836 nucleotides) under uncultured bacterium. RNAcentral describes it as "bacterial SSU rRNA". It matches the Rfam family "Bacterial small subunit ribosomal RNA", at positions 60 to 886 of the family's 1533-position model. The record is from RNAcentral.
AGUCGAGGGGAAACGAUAUUGGAAGCUUGCUUCCGAUAGGCGUCGACCGGCGCACGGGUGAGUAACGCGUAUCCAACCUGCCCAUCACUUGGGAAUAACCUUGCGAAAGUAAGACUAAUGCCCAAUGACAUUUAUAGAAGGCAUCGGAAAUGAAUUAAAGAUUUAUCGGUGAUGGAUGGGGAUGCGUCUGAUUAGCUUGUUGGCGGGGUAACGGCCCACCAAGGCGACGAUCAGUAGGGGUUCUGAGAGGAAGGUCCCCCACAUCGGAACUGAGACACGGUCCAAACUCCUACGGGAGGCAGCAGUGAGGAAUAUUGGUCAAUGGGCGAGAGCCUGAACCAGCCAAGUAGCGUGCAGGAUGACGGCCCUAUGGGUUGUAAACUGCUUUUAUAGGGGAAUAAAGUGAGCCACGUGUGGUUUUUUGCAUGUACCCUAUGAAUAAGGACCGGCUAAUUCCGUGCCAGCAGCCGCGGUAAUACGGAAGGUCCGGGCGUUAUCCGGAUUUAUUGGGUUUAAAGGGAGCGUAGGCCGGAGAUUAAGCGUGUUGUGAAAUGUAGAUGCUCAACAUCUGAACUGCAGCGCGAACUGGUUUCCUUGAGUACGCAUAAAGUGGGCGGAAUUCGUGGUGUAGCGGUGAAAUGCUUAGAUAUCACGAAGAACUCCGAUUGCGAAGGCAGCUCAUUGGGGCGCAACUGACGCUGAAGCUCGAAAGCGCGGGUAUCGAACAGGAUUAGAUACCCUGGUAGUCCGCGCGGUAAACGAUGGAUGCCCGCUGUUGGGCCAACUGGUUCAGCGGCCAAGCGAAAGCACUAAGCAUCCCACCUGGGGAGUACGCC